GGUGAGAUGGCUCAGUGGGUAAGAGCACCCGACUGUUCUUCCGACGGUCCAGAGUUCAAAUCCCAGCAACCA
RNAcentral lists this transfer RNA (72 nucleotides) under Mus musculus (house mouse). Its description in RNAcentral is "tRNA-Asn". Lineage: Eukaryota; Metazoa; Chordata; Mammalia; Rodentia; Muridae. The record is from RNAcentral.